RNAcentral lists this microRNA (23 nucleotides) under Ananas comosus (pineapple). RNAcentral's name for it is "microRNA s1443_c076b". Lineage: Eukaryota; Viridiplantae; Streptophyta; Magnoliopsida; Poales; Bromeliaceae. The record is from RNAcentral.
AAAAAAUCGUCUCAUUCCUUUCU